UACGUAGGGUGCAAGCGUUGUUCGGAAUCACUGGGCGUAAAGGGCGCGUAGGCGGCUUUGUCAGUCGGGGGUGAAAGCCUGUGGCUCAACCACAGAAUUGCCUUCGAUACUGCAAGGCUUGAGACCGGAAGAGGUCAGUGGAACUGCGAGUGUAGAGGUGAAAUUCGUAGAUAUUCGCAAGAACACCAGUGGCGAAGGCGGCUGACUGGUCCGGAUCUGACGCUGAGGCGCGAAAGCGUGGGGAGCAAACAGG
This 253-nucleotide ribosomal RNA is filed under the name uncultured bacterium. RNAcentral's name for it is "partial 16S ribosomal RNA". It matches the Rfam family "Bacterial small subunit ribosomal RNA", at positions 524 to 776 of the family's 1533-position model. The record is from RNAcentral.